AUGAUCCACCUUUUCUUUCACUCGCCUCUCCUCCAGCAAAUCUAUAAUGCAUUUAAUCUUCAGCAGUCACUCUCCUCAGUUUUUAAAUGUCUAAUUUGCUGCCGAGUGCAGCUCCAAUUCUCUCUGUGCCGCCGUUUUAACUCUCUGCCUUGUGUUUGCCCAAUUGCUUGUCUGCUUGGAUGGAGAGACCCGACUGCACCUGAUCCUUCGGAGAGAGGGAGGGGGAGAGAAGCUUACCGGAGGGCAGAGACUUCGCAGCGUCGUUGUCCAGGCAAACACCUUGGUGCUUUGGGAGACUACCUGCUUUGCUCACACCACAGCCAGCAGGCUGCUGUCAAGCAAGGCUUUCCCCUGUGCCAAGAGCAGGCUCCCCAGCCCUCGGCUGGCUGGAGCAGGCGUGCGGUGCCUGGGCCAUGCUGCCAGCACUGGCACGAAGCCUCCUUCAGCCCACAGCAAGGCAGGAGGUGGGGAUGGUUUCACCAAACCUCGUGGGUUUGUUCCCAAGCGCCCAGACUCGCUCUGACCCUUCCAAGGCUGCUCAGGCAGAACCUGUCCCCAGGAGCCCCCACCCCAGCCCUGGCAGCCCCUGACUGCUCUUCCUCUGUGCCCCACCAUCAUCCCCACUCAACCCGAGCAACCCAGUGUCACUGCUGUAACUGGCAGCCCCCAGCAUACUGGGGAUGCUGGGCACUGCCCUCCCACCCCACCUGUGCUCCCAGCUGCGGCCACUUCUCUGCCCCAUCUGAGAGCACUCAGCACCAGCCUGCGUGCCUGCUGCCAGCUGUGGGUGUUAAUGCCCUCUGCAGGGGCUGGUGGUGUGGCUGUUUGGGACUGCUCUGCAGGUUGUGUGUGUGCCUGGAGCCUGGGGAUUCUUUUGGGUGACAGAAGCAUCCUGGAGAAGAGCAAAAUACUGAAUGUGUCUGUAAUGAGACUUGUCUGUCACUGGCGGCAGCCCUCAAAGGUGCAAGAGCGAAGAAACAGGAAUAUUUGGAGCACAAGCCAGCCAAAGUCCUGCUUUUCCUGCAGCUACUGCGGGCUGGAAGGAAGCCUG
Molecule: long non-coding RNA, 1051 nt
Filed under: Anas platyrhynchos platyrhynchos (common mallard)
Lineage: Eukaryota; Metazoa; Chordata; Aves; Anseriformes; Anatidae
Description: lncRNA (ENSAPLG00000027997.1)
Source: RNAcentral